CAUGUCCUUUUGAGAAUAAUUUAAGGUCUAAUCUGCUCAAUGAAAAUUAAAUUGCCGCAGUAUUUUGACUGUGCAAAGGUAGCAUAAUAAUUAGUUUAUUAAUUAUAAACUGGAAUGAAUGAUUGGACAAGAAAAUUUCUGUCUCUUUAUUAAUUUUUUUGAAUUUUAUUUUUAAGUGAAAAAGCUUAAAUUUGUAUAAAAGACGAGAAGACCCUAUAGAGUUUAAUAUAUUAAUUUAUUUAAUAUUAGAAUAUUAAUAAAAAGUAUAUAUUUGGUUGGGGUGAUUUAAAAAUAUAAUUAAUUUUUUAAUUUUUUAAUUGGUGAUUUCUAAAUUUAAUAUCUAUAAUUUAUAAUUAUAAAAUAAAUUACCUUAGGGAUAACAGCGUAAUUAUUUUUGAAAGAUCUUAUUUAAAAAAUAGUUUGCGACCUCGAUGUUGGAUUAAAAUUUAUUUUUUGGUGUAGUAGCUGAAAUAUUAGGUCUGUUCGACCUUUAAAAUUUUACAUGAUCUGAGUUUAGACCGGUGUAAACCAGGUUGGAUUCUAUCUUUAAUAAAAUUAUAUAUUUUAGUACGAAAGGACCAAAUAUGUAUUAUAUUAAUUG
This 601-nucleotide ribosomal RNA is filed under the name Metanoeus sp. UPOL 000125. RNAcentral's name for it is "partial 16S ribosomal RNA". The stretch from base 376 to 535 matches the Rfam family "Bacterial large subunit ribosomal RNA", at positions 2473 to 2632 of the family's 2925-position model. The record is from RNAcentral. Lineage: Eukaryota; Metazoa; Arthropoda; Insecta; Coleoptera; Lycidae.